This is a long non-coding RNA of Oreochromis niloticus (Nile tilapia), 1465 nucleotides long. RefSeq lists it as uncharacterized. The record is from RefSeq and is a predicted model, not a curated record. Lineage: Eukaryota; Metazoa; Chordata; Actinopteri; Cichliformes; Cichlidae. The transcript is spliced from 3 exons.
UGUUCACUGCUUUGUUAAACACUGCGUGAGCCAAUAGUUUAGAAUAACAUAUUUGUGGAUCUAACCUCCUAUCCUACAUGUCUUUUAAAAGAUUUUUUAAAUCUCUUUGCGCAGGUGGUAAGACUAGAAUACUCAAGGCAGAACACUUUCCAAAUAUUUGUCCACACAGUGUAUGCUAUGUGGAUAUUACUGUCAAGAUGGACCUUGUUUGCUCAAGUCAUUUGAGAGAGUUGUCUGCAGCUGCUUGAAGGACUUAAAUGGAUGACAAUGAGAUUUAUGGAACAGUUCUUUAGCUGCGUAUCACCCUGCCCUCUGUUUUGCUUAUAGUCGACUUCAGCACCAAGGACAGCACAAACAGUGGCUCGAGUUUUUUUAGUAGCUGUUUUGUGAAGCCUGUAACCUACUUGUUGCAAUUUGUAGUCCUUAACCAGAGAGGAAAGUAAAAGUGGAGCACUGAAGCAAGGCCACCACUCACCCUUGAGUAUGACCUCUAUAUUUGCUAUGUAGUUGCUGCACAUUAAUCAGAUCCAGGGGCAGCUUCAAUUCAGAAGAGAUUUUUUUACAGUCUUAAUUUUGUGUGUGUGUGUGUCACUCAGCCUUUUAACCUCUUCUUUCCCCACAACUUUUCUUUUUUUACUGGGCAGAUUUUCCUCUCAAAAUAUCUCAAAUCCUGUGUAGACAUCAUGUGGCAGGUUGGUUUUCUGGAUUCUUUCAAGCUUAUGACUUACUGAGACAAGUGGCAUGACAUGUUUUGGAUGUCCUUUGGAUUCCGCAGAGUCCGUGUGUACCUCUCCCACUGCAGCUGAGUAUAUCAUGCACCCGUUUUACGCUUUCAUGUCAUACUGGUGACGACCCUCUGCCCCCCCCACUACCACCAUCACCACCCCUUCCAUCGUCCUGUAAAAUGAUAUCACACGGUACAGCUGACACCGUCUCACUCUUCCCACUGUUCUUUCUACCCCGCCCCACCGGGCACGGCGGUAGCAGGUGCCGAAACGCCCCCAGAGAACCUCGCUGAAAACGCUGCCAUGCCGAGCGGUGACACUCUGCAGCCGGACUACCGCCUGGUCUCAUCCGUCUUUAGCGCUUCAAAGAGGGGUCGGAUGCCAUGAGAUUUCCCACAGGCCCUCACUGGCUCCACGCUGUGAGUAAACCCGUGGUCAAGAGGGGAUAACCAACGGCGGAUAAUGACGUGAUGAUUCCGGUUGUAGAGCCAGCACAGGGGGGCUCCGGGCACCUUUAAUGACCGGUGCUGGAGAGGAAAUCAGUGGACUUUACUGUCUGUGGAGCCGCGUAACACCGGACCGACAGCGGUGCAAAUAAGAAGAAGGGAAGAAAAGAAAAGAAACGUCUCUCUAACAGGUUGCUGAGACAUUCAGUCCGAAAAGGGGGGAUUUGCAGCACAGCAGAGAAUGCUCUCCCCCAGAUGCUGACUUCUAAAGCCAUUAGAAACCUGUGCUGAACG